RNAcentral lists this ribosomal RNA (489 nucleotides) under uncultured Pichia. RNAcentral's name for it is "eukaryotic LSU rRNA". It matches the Rfam family "Eukaryotic large subunit ribosomal RNA", at positions 62 to 563 of the family's 3401-position model. The record is from RNAcentral. Lineage: Eukaryota; Fungi; Ascomycota; Saccharomycetes; Saccharomycetales; Saccharomycetaceae.
AAACCAACAGGGAUUGCCUCAGUAGCGGCGAGUGAAGCGGCAAGAGCUCAGAUUUGAAAUCGUGCUUUGCGGCACGAGUUGUAGAUUGCAGGUUGGAGUCUGUGUGGAAGGCGGUGUCCAAGUCCCUUGGAACAGGGCGCCCAGGAGGGUGAGAGCCCCGUGGGAUGCCGGCGGAAGCAGUGAGGCCCUUCUGACGAGUCGAGUUGUUUGGGAAUGCAGCUCCAAGCGGGUGGUAAAUUCCAUCUAAGGCUAAAUACUGGCGAGAGACCGAUAGCGAACAAGUACUGUGAAGGAAAGAUGAAAAGCACUUUGAAAAGAGAGUGAAACAGCACGUGAAAUUGUUGAAAGGGAAGGGUAUUGCGCCCGACAUGGGGAUUGCGCACCGCUGCCUCUCGUGGGCGCGCUCUGGGCUUUCCCUGGGCCAGCAUCGGUUCUUGCUGCAGGAGAAGGGGUUCUGGAACGUGGCUCUUCGGAGUGUUAUAGCCAGGG